Molecule: ribosomal RNA, 978 nt
Filed under: Triticum aestivum (bread wheat)
Lineage: Eukaryota; Viridiplantae; Streptophyta; Magnoliopsida; Poales; Poaceae
Description: partial small subunit ribosomal RNA
Source: RNAcentral
AUGAGCUCCGCCAUCGCCCACUCGAGGAGCGCGAAGGUCGAGUCCGUGGCGGCGGCGAGCACGUCCAAGAUGAUGGACUUGAUGCUGUCCGUGCCCAGCUCGUCGGCGUCCAGCCAGCAUCACGUCCACGAAGUCUUCCUCGUCCCUGGUGGCGGUGGCAACACGGCGUCGCUGGCGGUGGUCGGUGAUGACCCGCUCCAGCAGCCCGUCCAUCUCCUGGAAGACUCGUCUCGCCCUCCGCUCCAGUCCCGUCACCGUGUCCACCCAUCCCAGCCACGGCACCGUCUCCCCCAUGGGCACCGUUCCGAGGAGCUCCUCCAUCUCGCCGAACGCCUUCCUCAGCCUCGCGCCGCCGCCUUCCACCCCGCAGUCCGCGUCGCCGAGCGUGCAGCGGGAGAUGACCGCGUUGGAGUAGACGACGAGGUUGUCGCUCAGGUUCACGACGCCGGAACCAGCCCGGCGGACCCGGCCGACGAGCGCGGCGGCCUCCUGCGCCCGGACGCGGCCCAGGGACGCGACGCGGCGCGCGCUGAGCAUGUGGGCGGCGCAGACGCGGCGCGCCUGGCGCCAGUGGUCGCCGUAGGGCGCGAAGCCGAUGCCGCCGGUGCCGUAGUAGAAGCGGUCGACCAUGAGGAGCCUGGGGCGGCCGGCGAAGUCCAGGUCGCGGGUCUUCAUGGCCUCCUCCGCCGCGGCCGCGGAGGAGGCCACGACGGCGGGCACGCGGCCGAGCCGCAGGUGCAUGACCGGGCCGUGGGACGCGGCCAGCGACCGGAGGCUCCGGUGCGGCAGGCUCCCGAGCAGGUGGAGGUGGCCGACGACCGGCAGGCCCCGCGGCGACGGGGGCAGCCGCAGCGCACUGCUGCUGCGCCUGGUGGAGACGAGGAGGGUGAUCACCACGAGAAGGAAGGCGAGGACGGUGGUGAGCACGGGCGAGUUCAACGGCUCGACCACCAUUUCUGCAACCAUUCCCAAGCUUAA